GGAGUCGGCCGGGCAGUCGCUGGGAUAUUCCUGGAGGAAAGUCCGGGCUCCAUGGGCAGGGUGCCAGGUAACUCCUGGGGGGCGUGAGCCUACGGCUAGUGCCACAGAAAAUAUACCGCCGGACGUACAGUUCGGUAAGGGUGAAAUGGUGCGGUAAGAGCGCACCGCGCACGUGGUAACGCGUUGCGGCAGGGUAAACCCCACCCGGAGCAAGACCAAAUAGGGGAGCGUUUUAGUGUGCCCGCACGAGCUCCCGGGUAGGUCGCUAGAGGUGUGCGGUGACGCACAUUCGAGAUGAAUGACUGCUCUCGACAGAACCCGGCUUACAGGCCGGCUCCCGCU
RNAcentral lists this RNase P RNA (342 nucleotides) under Gammaproteobacteria bacterium. RNAcentral describes it as "RNase P RNA component class A". It matches the Rfam family "Bacterial RNase P class A". From Rfam's summary of the family: Ribonuclease P (RNase P) is a ubiquitous endoribonuclease, found in archaea, bacteria and eukarya as well as chloroplasts and mitochondria. Its best characterised activity is the generation of mature 5'-ends of tRNAs by cleaving the 5'-leader elements of precursor-tRNAs. The record is from RNAcentral. Lineage: Bacteria; Pseudomonadati; Pseudomonadota; Gammaproteobacteria.